Molecule: ribosomal RNA, 1410 nt
Filed under: Staphylococcus aureus Lyso 2 2010
Lineage: Bacteria; Bacillati; Bacillota; Bacilli; Caryophanales; Staphylococcaceae
Description: bacterial LSU rRNA
Rfam family: Bacterial large subunit ribosomal RNA
Source: RNAcentral
AAUAGGGGAGCCGAAGGGAAACCGAGUCUUAACUGGGCGUUAAGUUGCAGGGUAUAGACCCGAAACCCGGUGAUCUAGCCAUGGGCAGGUUGAAGGUUGGGUAACACUAACUGGAGGACCGAACCGACUAAUGUUGAAAAAUUAGCGGAUGACUUGUGGCUGGGGGUGAAAGGCCAAUCAAACCGGGAGAUAGCUGGUUCUCCCCGAAAGCUAUUUAGGUAGCGCCUCGUGAAUUCAUCUCCGGGGGUAGAGCACUGUUUCGGCAAGGGGGUCAUCCCGACUUACCAACCCGAUGCAAACUGCGAAUACCGGAGAAUGUUAUCACGGGAGACACACGGCGGGUGCUAACGUCCGUCGUGAAGAGGGAAACAACCCAGACCGCCAGCUAAGGUCCCAAAGUCAUGGUUAAGUGGGAAACGAUGUGGGAAGGCCCAGACAGCCAGGAUGUUGGCUUAGAAGCAGCCAUCAUUUAAAGAAAGCGUAAUAGCUCACUGGUCGAGUCGGCCUGCGCGGAAGAUGUAACGGGGCUAAACCAUGCACCGAAGCUGCGGCAGCGACGCUUAUGCGUUGUUGGGUAGGGGAGCGUUCUGUAAGCCUGUGAAGGUGUGCUGUGAGGCAUGCUGGAGGUAUCAGAAGUGCGAAUGCUGACAUAAGUAACGAUAAAGCGGGUGAAAAGCCCGCUCGCCGGAAGACCAAGGGUUCCUGUCCAACGUUAAUCGGGGCAGGGUGAGUCGACCCCUAAGGCGAGGCCGAAAGGCGUAGUCGAUGGGAAACAGGUUAAUAUUCCUGUACUUGGUGUUACUGCGAAGGGGGGACGGAGAAGGCUAUGUUGGCCGGGCGACGGUUGUCCCGGUUUAAGCGUGUAGGCUGGUUUUCCAGGCAAAUCCGGAAAAUCAAGGCUGAGGCGUGAUGACGAGGCACUACGGUGCUGAAGCAACAAAUGCCCUGCUUCCAGGAAAAGCCUCUAAGCAUCAGGUAACAUCAAAUCGUACCCCAAACCGACACAGGUGGUCAGGUAGAGAAUACCAAGGCGCUUGAGAGAACUCGGGUGAAGGAACUAGGCAAAAUGGUGCCGUAACUUCGGGAGAAGGCACGCUGAUAUGUAGGUGAAGUCCCUCGCGGAUGGAGCUGAAAUCAGUCGAAGAUACCAGCUGGCUGCAACUGUUUAUUAAAAACACAGCACUGUGCAAACACGAAAGUGGACGUAUACGGUGUGACGCCUGCCCGGUGCCGGAAGGUUAAUUGAUGGGGUUAGCGGUAACGCGAAGCUCUUGAUCGAAGCCCCGGUAAACGGCGGCCGUAACUAUAACGGUCCUAAGGUAGCGAAAUUCCUUGUCGGGUAAGUUCCGACCCGCACGAAAGGCGUAACGAUUUGGGCACUGUCUCAACGAGAGACUCGGUGAAAUCAUA